RNAcentral lists this microRNA precursor (162 nucleotides) under Glycine max (soybean). Its description in RNAcentral is "miR9733 stem-loop (gma-MIR9733)". The record is from miRBase by way of RNAcentral. Lineage: Eukaryota; Viridiplantae; Streptophyta; Magnoliopsida; Fabales; Fabaceae.
CAUUUCCAAACUUUUGCUUUUGGUACCUGCUGUUAGUCUUGGUCCGUUAAGUGAUGAUGUGAAGCUAACAAAGUGUCACAUCAUUGGUUAAGUGAUGUUGGGACGUCAUCACUUAACAGACUUAGAUUAACAGAAGGUACCAAAAGCAAAAGUUUAAAAAUG